ACACACACACACACACCAGUUCACUCGAGUCUCCAGGUCUGGCACUUGGGUUGUUGGCUGGUUUGACGGACCAGUUGAGUCUGAGCAGUCGACGCGGUUGGUACGUGAAAUUCGGCCUUCAUCCACGUGUGUACUGCGACUAUAAGCUUUUAUAUUCGCUUUGGCAGACGGAAACUGCGUUCAUCUUCUCUCUCACGAAUCGACCAACAGAUUCUUGCGUCAACAUUUCUUUCCUUUAUUUUGGGGGUUUCUUUUCUUACAGUUGGUGCUAGAGUUUGAUGGGUUCGACUCCGACGAGUUGAUGAGUGUGACAUUUGAGUUCAAUUCUUUGUUGGUUUUGUAUUAACGUGGGAACUUGAGAUAGAAUCGCUAGUGUGGCUAGUGAGUUGGGUUCAUUUCUGGUCCUGCCGACGUUUCGUUGGUUUUCGCAACAGCCAUGACUGACGUCAUCAUGGUGGAUGGCAGCGUCGGAGCUUCCAAUAAUACCAACAACAAUUUACCUCUCAACAUGAACAACAGUGUCAUCAGCGUGACUAUGGCGGCAGCGGCAGCGGCGGCGGCAGCAGCUGCUGCUGGCGGCACAACUUCGCCAACGUUGGGAGGCACGUCGCCCGUCUCUGCCGCGGCCGCGGCCGCCGCGAUGAUGAUGAUGCAACCGCCAGCCUCUUGUUCCUCGUCGUCUUCGUCUUCGUCGUCGACGUCGGCCUCGGCGGCCGCCGCUGCCGCCGCCGCUGCAGCGGCCAACACGCAAAGUGUCGCCGAUUAUUUGGCGCAGCUUCUCAAAGACAAGAAACAAUUGGCUGCCCUGCCCAACGUAUUUCAUCAUGUCGAACGACUGCUCGACGAAGAAAUUGGAAAGGUGCGCGGCAAUCUGUUUCAAAUCAAUGGGACUGAGAAAAAACCCAUGGUGCUUCCGGAUGCUGUUGGUGCCGCUGUGAAUCUCUCAGAAAAAGUCUACGUUCCUGUCAAAGAGUUUCCCGACUUUAAUUUCGUCGGUCGCAUUUUGGGACCACGUGGCAUGACAGCUAAACAACUUGAACAAGAAACGGGUUGCAAGAUUAUGGUGAGGGGGCGUGGAUCUAUGCGCGACAAGAAAAAGGAGGAACAAAAUCGGGGCAAGCCAAAUUGGGAACACUUGAACGACGAACUUCACGUUCUCAUCACAGUUGAAGACACAGAAAACCGUGCGAAAGUUAAGCUGCAGCGCGCCGUGGAUGAAAUAAGAAAGCUUCUUGUUCCAGCCCAGGCGGACGGAGAAGACGAACUAAAAAAACGACAGCUGAUGGAAUUGGCGAUCAUAAAUGGAACUUACCGAGAUCCAUCAGCCAAACUUGGUCAACCUGGAAGUGGUGUUGGAGGAGGUGUCGUUAGUGGAGUUGGCGUGGGAGGUGGCAAAGGGGCUGAUCUGCUCAGCAUAUGGUUCUAUGAGACACAGAUGCUUCAGCAGUUCGCGAGCCGUCCUCCUUCUCCCGCCAUCAAUUCGUAUGCCCCUCGUUUGUUGCAGCCAGGAGUUGGGCUAGGCUCACCAGGUGGACUACGAAAUCCUUCAGCGGGUGCCUCACAGCUUGAGUACUAUUUCAACCAAGCGUCAUCGAAAGAUUCGUGGAACGGUAUAGCUGGAGCUCCUCUCAUUCUCUCGCCACGAGGGAUGCAACAUUCUUCAGCCGCUUCAUCCAUGGCAGCUCUUCUCAAUUCAGCUGCAUCGGGAGGACCACCUCCACUUAUCAGUGCUGCAGACGCCGCUGCUGGAUUGCUCUAUUCACCUUAUGCUGCCGCUGCUGCCGCUGAAUAUUCCAACUACGCAGCUGCGGCCGCCGCCGCCGCUGGCCUGUCAUCUCAACUGUUGGCAGAAUACCAGACGGGCGUGCCGUCAUCCAACGACGGCACCGCUGGAGGCGCUAGUGGGAAGCUGAGACGCCAUCUGGGCUCGCAAGGGCGAGAGCAUCCUUACCAAAGGAACGACCUCAACUAACAAGCCAACCAACAACUACCACCCAAAAACAAACCAAUCAAAAACAAACAAAAAUCCAACCCAACCAUCCAGCAGUUGUCCCAGAUAUUCAGGCCAGGUGCUUAACGGUGUGUAGUGCUCUACUUACGAAAUCCCGCGGCCAAUGGCCUGCGAAGAACAUUGGCUAUUGAUCUGGAGACCCUGUCCUGCAUCAGCAAGUCGCUCUUACAACCGCCGCUGCAAACCGCGUAAUACUUUGAACAAGGUCUACUUCUGCUAGCAAGGAAUAGUAAUUUAAUUUUAUCUGCUUCUAAUCCGAACGUCUUUUCUUUAUAAAGUUAUCGUGAGAUUUCGUGAACUUGAUCGUACCCCAAAUGUGUGUUUUUUCCCAUUUAUCAUGUAAAUAUUUCAAACGUUGCCUUGACCAGCUACACCUUAUUUGAUUCUUCCUACCUCAGUAUCUUAAAAAAAAAACAAAAAAACUAGUUGGAUCUAAUUUAUAUCCAGAUGUACUGCAUUACUCUUUAGUUGAACGAUCAAGUUUACUCGAUCCUUACGAUUCAGUGUUUUUGAACCUGUCGAAUUGUCAGCUCCUGAGUUGUGAAAUCGACAAUCUAGUUUUCCGGAAGGCUUCGAUUAAUUACUAAAAAUGCGGGAGCAAACCAAAAAACAAUAGCCGUUUAUCAACUUGGGCAAUUUGUUUUUGACCAAUGACCAGUUCAUCACUGAGUCUGUGGACUAAUAUGACAAUAAUUUCAAAAGGAGAUAAAUUAAAUUUCUCAUCAAUCCGUUCUACAUAAAAUUAUACGUUAUUUACAUCUUCGACUGUUCUUCACUUGUAGUAAUUGCAAGUCAGCAAAAGUAACUUUUUGAAAUCUCCUCUGCACACUGUUAGCUGUAGUAUGAACCCGUAUUUCUUAUAUGGACGGUGUUUUUUUGUUGUUCUAUUUACCGUCUUUGCAACUGAAAUCAAUUAAGCGACCUUCCCAAACUAUGGUUGAAAUACAACCAGCAAAUAUUUCCCAUCAAGAUUUAUCUGUAUCUUCGCCGACUCCUUACCUACAUACAAAUUAUUAUUUAUAACACCCAAUAAUAAUUUUGCAAAAAAUGUGCCUUGUUUGUUAGAUCGGUUUGAUUUAUCUGCAAAGUGAAACGUGUAGCUAUUUUUCUACGUUGGUGCUCGUAAUAAUGCUGAUUGCAAACGCGUGCCUUUACAUACACUAUGUGCCCAUAAGAUUGCUUACACCUUAAACUAGGCCUGCAGUACUUACCACAACGACUUUGUGCCAUAAACUUGAGCCAUUUACCCUUUGUAUGAAUUUAUCUACUGUAUUUGUUACAUUUCAUAUAAAUAAACUUUUCCUUUUCCAUGUA
RNA transcript from Daphnia pulicaria, 3325 nucleotides. It is a transcript of the gene named protein quaking-B-like, with no coding region annotated. The transcript is spliced from 11 exons. The record is from RefSeq and is a predicted model, not a curated record. Lineage: Eukaryota; Metazoa; Arthropoda; Branchiopoda; Diplostraca; Daphniidae.